RNAcentral lists this ribosomal RNA (165 nucleotides) under uncultured bacterium. RNAcentral's name for it is "partial 16S ribosomal RNA". The record is from RNAcentral.
AGAUGCAUGGCGCAGCUGAUGCAGCCAUGCCGCGUGAGUGAUGAAGGCCCUAUGGUUGGAAAGCUGUUUUUAUAGGGAAGAAAAUGACUGUACUUGUAUGAGAAUGACCGGACCUUUCCAAUACACCACGCCUAACUCUAUGCCAUCAGCCGCGGUAAUAUAAUA